GCAGCAGUAGGGAAUUUUCCGCAAUGGGCGAAAGCCUGACGGAGCAAUACCGCGUGAGGGAUGACGGCCUGUGGGUUGUAAACCUCUUUUCUCAAGGAAGAAGUUCUGACGGUACUUGAGGAAUAAGCAUCGGCUAACUCUGUGCCAGCAGCCGCGGUAAUACAGAGGAUGCAAGCGUUAUCCGGAAUCACUGGGCAUAAAGCGUCUGUAGGUGGUUUGGUAAGUMUGYUGUUAAAGAMUGGGGCUUAACCCCAGAAAAGCAGUGGAAACUGCCAGACUUGAGUGUGGUAGAGGUAAAGGGAAUUCMUAGUGUAGCGGUGAAAUGCGUAGAUAUUAGGAAGAACACCAAUGGCGAAGGCACUUUACUGGGCCAUAACUGACACUGAGAGACGACAGCUAGGGGAGCAAAUGGGAUUAGAUACCCCAGUAGUCCUAGCCGUAAACGAUGGAUACUAGAUGUUGCACGUAUUAACCCGUGCAGUAUCGUAGCUAAGGCGUUAA
Molecule: ribosomal RNA, 501 nt
Filed under: uncultured bacterium
Lineage: Bacteria
Description: bacterial SSU rRNA
Rfam family: Bacterial small subunit ribosomal RNA
Source: RNAcentral